GACGAACGCUGGCGGCGUGCCUAAUACAUGCAAGUCGAGCGCAGGAAGCUGACGGAACUCUUCGGAGGGAAGGCAGUGGAAUGAGCGGCGGACGGGUGAGUAACACGUAAGGAACCUGCCUCAAGGAUUGGGAUAACUCCGAGAAAUCGGAGCUAAUACCGGAUAGUUCAUCGGACCGCAUGGUCCGUUGAUGAAAGGCGCUCCGGCGUCACCUUGAGAUGGCCUUGCGGUGCAUUAGCUAGUUGGUGGGGUAACGGCCCACCAAGGCGACGAUGCCUAGCGGCCCUGAGAGGGUGAACGGCCACACUGGGAAUGAGACACGGCCCAGACUCCUACGGGAGGCAGCAGUAGGGAAUCUUCCACAAUGGACGAAAGUCUGAUGGAGCAACGCCGCGUGAGUGAUGAAGGUUUUCGGAUCGUAAAACUCUGUUGUAAGGGAAGAACACGUACGAGAGGAAAUGCUCGUACCUUGACGGUACCUUACGAGAAAGCCACGGCUAACUACGUGCCAGCCGCCGCCGUAA
RNAcentral lists this ribosomal RNA (524 nucleotides) under uncultured bacterium. RNAcentral's name for it is "partial 16S ribosomal RNA". It matches the Rfam family "Bacterial small subunit ribosomal RNA", at positions 28 to 523 of the family's 1533-position model. The record is from RNAcentral.